UUUAUUUUCUUUUUUUUUUUAAUUUUAAAUCUCUCCAUUUUUUUUUUCUCCCUUUAUUUUCCCUCUCACGGUUUCUGUUCGUUACUACAGAUAUUCUAUUCUUUUAAAGCUUUUCUGUGAUAACGCUUAAUGGUAAAAUUGAACAAAGAAACAGUAAUUCUGGGUUGGAUAAGACUUAAAAUUUGAGGGACAGUAAUUGCAGUAGGCAGGGCCGAGUUGUUCCUCUUUGGACAUGAACAUG
Molecule: unclassified non-coding RNA, 241 nt
Filed under: Hevea brasiliensis (rubber tree)
Lineage: Eukaryota; Viridiplantae; Streptophyta; Magnoliopsida; Malpighiales; Euphorbiaceae
Source: RNAcentral